This 617-nucleotide ribosomal RNA is filed under the name uncultured bacterium. RNAcentral's name for it is "bacterial SSU rRNA". The stretch from base 1 to 544 matches the Rfam family "Bacterial small subunit ribosomal RNA", at positions 338 to 873 of the family's 1533-position model. The record is from RNAcentral.
CCUACGGGAGGCAGCAGUGGGGAAUCUUGCGCAAUGGACGAAAGUCUGACGCAGCCACGCCGCGUGAGUGAAGAAGGCCUUCGGGUUGUAAAGCUCUGUCGGAGGGGACAAAAACGUUUAGGGUUAAUAGCCCUAGAUCUUGAUGGUACCCUCAAAGGAAGCACCGGCUAACUUCGUGCCAGCAGCCGCGGUAAUACGAAGGGUGCAAGCGUUGCUCGGAAUUAUUGGGCGUAAAGGGUAGGUAGGUGGUUACGUAUGUCUGAGGUGAAAGCCCCGAGCUUAACUUGGGAAGUGCCUUGGAAACGGCGUAACUAGAGUAUUGGAGAGGUUUGUAGAAUUCCCGGUGUAGCGGUGAAAUGCGUAGAGAUCGGGAGGAAUAUCAGAGGCGAAGGCGACAAACUGGACAAUUACUGACACUAAACUACGAAAGCGUGGGGAGCAAACAGGAUUAGAUACUCUGGUAGUCCACGCUGUAAACGAUGGGUACUAGAGUUCGGGGGAUUGACCCCUCGGACUCGGGAGCUACGACGAUACGUACCCGACCGUCGGAGUACGGUCGCGACGACAAACUACAAUAGAUAGACGCGUGAGACGNGCGACGACGACGACGAGGAGAG